Molecule: long non-coding RNA, 2302 nt
Filed under: Nicotiana benthamiana
Lineage: Eukaryota; Viridiplantae; Streptophyta; Magnoliopsida; Solanales; Solanaceae
Description: long non-coding RNA (NBEN_LNC018151)
Source: RNAcentral
UGACUCUAAUUGCAAAAACUCACGCAACAACAACGACGCACCGCAAUGACCAUACAUACCUUCAUUAUAGUUGCUAGACAUGAACUCCAAAACUUCUAAAGUAAUUUAUCAGACUAUUUAUCCAUUAUGGAUUACUGAUUUUAAUGAGAUGAUUCGCUAUGGGUAAGCCUUUUGUCUUCCUGACCUUUAACUGACUUCAAAGCUAAUUUACCAUUAACAUUACACUAGCAUGAUCCAUGAUAAAUCUACAAGCAAUCUACAAUUUAUGAAUUGAAAUACUACUAUAAAGUGACUACCCUUUUAACAUGAUACUUACCCAGCUCCAAUACCACAGGUGACCACAAAGAUCAUAUGAACCUUUGAAUUUAUUCAACAGCCCAAUUAAACAAACCCAUUGAACUGACUACAUUUUAAGUUAUUCCAAGGAUCCAAUGCCACAAUUCAACACUAUACCACAUUUAACAGAUAACCCAUUUUAAUUAUACACUUAAUCAACAUCUAUAUAAAAGGAAAACAGAACAAUAAACCCCUAGAACAUUUCAUUUCAAACUUCAACAAGCUUACAUCAAUAUGGUUCAGGGUAGUGUACCUGGGAAUACAAUGAAAAGAGGAGAGGAAAAGAAUAAGCAGCAACACAUUCAACAGUGACGAGAAAAAAACCAGAACACAGUCCAGGAAUGAGCAAACUCAACCAAAAUAAGCCUCUAUAUACGUGAAAUCUACCCAAGAGCUUGAAAAACCCAGCAGCAAACAGCAAAACAAACCCAAGCAAACUGAUAACCCAGAAAUUGUUUGAACUCAACUAUGCAUAACAGAGAAACUUCAGCAAUGAGAAGAGAACCAGAAAUGCAAAUUAUGAACUAGAGUAUCAAAAUAAACUUACAGCUCUAAUGAAAUAGUAUAUUUUGGUAUUUUAUGAAGAGUUUUUGUUGUUUUUGAUUUUUGUAUGUAUUUGUUUUGUAUUUUUCUGUAUAUCUGAAUGCUGAAGCUAAUUUAGGACUAGAAUGAAAGAAGAAAUCAGAUUUGUUUAUGAUAUUUUUAGCUUAAAAGCUCUGCCCCCUUUCACAAGGCAUUUAAUGCCUUUAUAUAGACAAGAAUGAGGGCAAAGGGUCAGAUUUUCCAUUUGCACCAUUAGUCGCUAGUUAUUUACAGCUUUUAACCUCAAUUUCUAACAUGUUCUUCAAGUUGCUCCCUAAGUUUUCAGAAAUGUGCACUAAGGCCCUAUUCUAUGAGCUUCUAGGAUGCUCUUUAGGCUACACAAUUCCUAGAAUACCCUCAUCUUUGUUUUAAAAAUUACUAUUCUUCAAAAUCCUACCCUUUUCUCAUGCCCAAACUGCCCCUGAAACCCCCUGAAAUUACUAACCAUACUGAUUCACUGACCCACCCUUUUGUCCCCUGUUAAAUAUUAACUAAGGUUAUCUAAAUAGUUAUGGCCAAUCUCACAAACAAGCAAUCGACCCCCAAACUGAAUUCAGAAGCACACAACAAAGAAAUAGAGAAAAUUCCUAAAUCAGUAUCCUAUUAGACAAUUGCAAAAAUUAAUUAAGCUAACAUCUAAUUAACGAUUAAGCAUAUAAACUAACAAAGAAUCAACACCAAUUCAGAAUUUAAAUAGAAGACUAAUACGAAUUAACCUAUUGAUUUUAACAAUCACAAAAAUGAACUUAGUUUUAACGUGCUCGACUGAACUAAACAAGAAAAUGAAUCACACUAAAAGAAAAGAAAAGAAGGAAACUUACGGAUUUUUACUCCAGACUCGAUUGGCCCUCAAAUUUGGCCUAAGCUAAUGAUAUAUAUUUAUUUCAUAUGAAAUAAACAUAAAACGUUAGCUUAAAACCAAAUGGACGCCGGAUUCUUCAAAAUGGCUCCAAAACAGACCCAACUUCCACGAAAUACAAAUUUGAAAUCCGUUCAAUUCCACUUGGAUUCGAGGGAUUUUGGUUAAAGAUUAAGGGUGAGGGAGGUUAGGGGAUUAUGGGGUGUGAUUUUGAACCGAUUUGGAUGAAUUUGUAUAUUGACCUAGAUUUCAAAUCAAGAUUUGAACAAUUGAGUUACGAUUCGAAGGCAAUUUGGAUGAAUUGGUAUUUUGACCUAGGUUUUCAAAUUAAUAUUCGAACAGUUGAGUUAGGAUUCAAAGGAAACAGUUGUCAUGGUUGUAAAGAGGAGGUUGAAGAGACUGGGUGGUGUUAGUUUGGUCGAGUUUGGCGGUGGCGCCGCCGGGUUUUAGGGUGAGGGAUAUGGCGGCGGCGUCUCUAGGGCUUCUUAGAGAGGGAGGGGUGAAGGAGACGAUAAGAAGUGGGGG